ACGGAGGGUGCAAACGUUGCUCGGAAUCAUUGGGCGUAAAGCGCGCGUAGGCGGUUGGACAAGUUGGAUGUGAAAGCCCUGGGCUCAACCCAGGAUGUGCAUUCAAAACUGUCCGACUUGAAUCUCGGAGGGGGUCAGAGAAUUCCCGGUGUAGAGGUGAAAUUCGUAGAUAUCUGGAGGAACACCGGUGGCGAAGGCGGCAUCCUGGACCAACACUGACGCUGAGGAGCGAAAGCCAGGGGAGCAAACGGGA
Molecule: ribosomal RNA, 253 nt
Filed under: uncultured prokaryote
Description: partial 16S ribosomal RNA
Rfam family: Bacterial small subunit ribosomal RNA
Source: RNAcentral